UACGGAGGGGGCGAGCGUUAUUCGGAAUUAUUGGGCGUAAAGGGCGCGUAGGCGGCCGGGCAAGUUGAAGGUGAAAUCCCUCGGCUUAACCGAGGAACUGCCCUCCAAACUGCUUGGCUUGAGUCCGGGAGAGGUGAGUGGAAUUCCCAGUGUAGCGGUGAAAUGCGUAGAUAUUGGGAGGAACACCAGUGGCGAAGGCGGCUCGCUGGACCGGAACUGACGCUGAGGCGCGAAAGCGUGGGGAGCAAACGGG
This 253-nucleotide ribosomal RNA is filed under the name uncultured bacterium. RNAcentral describes it as "partial 16S ribosomal RNA". It matches the Rfam family "Bacterial small subunit ribosomal RNA", at positions 524 to 776 of the family's 1533-position model. The record is from RNAcentral.